UAGGGAAUAUUGCGCAAUGGAGGAAACUCUGACGCAGCGACGCCGCGUGGGUGACGAAGGUCUUCGGAUCGUAAAGCCCUGUCGGCAGGGACGAAAAACGGAAUGGCUAAUAUCCAUACCGCUUGACGGUACCUGCAGAGGAAGCACCGGCUAACUACGUGCCAGCAGCCGCGGUAAUACGUAGGGUGCUAGCGUUGUUCGGAAUUAUUGGGCGUAAAGCGCGUGUAGGUGGUUUGUUAAGUCGGAUGUGAAAUCCCUGGGCUCAACCGAGGAAGUGCAUUCGAAACUACCAAGCUAGAAGACGGCAGAGGAUGGUGGAAUUCCUAGUGUAGAGGUGAAAUUCGUAGAUAUUAGGAGGAAUACCGGCGGCGAAGGCGGCCAUCUGGGCCGUUCUUGACACUGAGACGCGAAAGCGUGGGUAGCAAACAGGAUUAGAUACCCAUGUAGUCCCUGAGCGGGCUGGCAAGGCGCAU
Molecule: ribosomal RNA, 473 nt
Filed under: uncultured bacterium
Lineage: Bacteria
Description: bacterial SSU rRNA
Rfam family: Bacterial small subunit ribosomal RNA
Source: RNAcentral